RNAcentral lists this long non-coding RNA (3090 nucleotides) under Pan troglodytes (chimpanzee). Its description in RNAcentral is "lncRNA (ENSPTRG00000053001.1)". Lineage: Eukaryota; Metazoa; Chordata; Mammalia; Primates; Hominidae. The record is from RNAcentral.
GUGAGCCACCGUGCCUGGCCCAAUUUUUGUAUUUUUGGGAGAGACGGGGUUUCACCAUGUUGGUCAGGCUGGUCUCGAACUCCCAACCUCAGGUGAUCCUCCCGCCUCAGCCUCCCAAAGUGCUGGGAUGACAGGUGUGAGCCACCGUGCCUGGCCCAAUUUUUGUAUUUUUGGGAGAGACGGGGUUUCACCAUGUUGGUCAGGCUGGUCUCGAACUCCCAACCUCAGGUGAUCCUCCCGCGUCGGCCUCCCAAAGUGCUGGGAUGACAGGUGUGAGCCACCGUGCCUGGCCCAAUUUUUGUAUUUUUGGGAGAGAUGGGGUUUCACCAUGUUGGUCAAGCUGGUGUCGAACUCCCAACCUCAGGUGAUCCUCCCGCCUCAGCCUCCCAAAGUGCUGGGAUGACAGGCGUGAGCCACCGCAUCCAGCCCAUGGUGGCGAAGUUUUAACAGCUCAGCAGAAAUUUCCUUGUGGGCAAAACAUAGGGCAGGCAGGUUGCUUUCAUCUCAGAGCCAUCUUACUUAAGAACCAAAAAGAGGGAGGCAGGUUUGCUGGACCCAGUUCUCAGCUUGACUGUUCCCUUUGGCUAAAUGCAUUUGGACACCCGAAGAGAUUUAAUUUCCUUUCACAUGUCUGUCAACGAUUCACCGCAGACGCAAACCUGUGUGUCUCUCUAGGUUCUGACGACGGGAACCUCGGCUCUGUGUACAUUUACGUGCUCCUGAUCGUGGGAACCCUUGUCUGUGGCAUCAUCCUCGGCUUCCUCUUUAAAAGGUUCCUUAGGAUACAGCGGCUGUUCCCGCCAGUUCCACAGAUCAAAGACAAACUGAAUGAUAACCAUGAGGUGGAAGACGAGCUGGGACCGCAGUGUCACCACCGGUGUGGCUGGAAUCUGUAUCCCACUCCUGGGCCUUCUCCCGGGUCGGGGUCUUCUCCAGGGUUGGGGUCAGAGUCAUCUCUGUGAGCUCCAUCAGGAGAAACUGAGGCAGGGUGGUGGUCAAAAAAAGGAGGAGAAGACGGUAGAGAGGGCCAGGCACGGUGGCUCAUGCCUGUCAUCCCAGCACUUUGGGAGGUUGAGGCAUGUGGAUCAUCUGAGGUCAGAGGUUCGAGACCAGCCUGGCCAACGUGGUGAAACCCCAUCUCUGCUAAAAAUGCAAAAAAUUAGCUGGGCGUGGUGGUGUACGCCUGAAAUCCCAGUGACUCGGGAGGCUGGGGCAGGAGAACGGCUUGAACCCAGGGGGCGGAGGUUGCCGUGAGCCGAGAUCGCACCACCGCACUCCAGCCUGGCUGACAGAGUGAGACUCCAUCUCAAAAGAAAAAAGAAGGUAGAGAGGAGAGGCGGAAAUAGAGACAAGAGACAGAGGCAGAGAAAGAUGGAGGGAGAGAGAUGGAGGAGAGAGAGAGGAAUGUAGAAGAGAAUGAGAAGAAGACACAAAGGAGAGGGAAACAAACAGGCAGACAGACUGACAGAAACAAAGGCAGACACACAGACAGAGAAACAGAGAGAGGGAGGGAGGGAGAAAAGAGAGAAGGAAAGAGAGAGAGAGACACACAGAGAGCAAGACUGACCUACAAAGAGAAAAAGACAAUCAGAGAGACACAGAUGGAGAAACAGAGACAGAUAAACAACAAACAUAAAGACCCAGGCGGGGGCCGGUCGCGGUGACUCACAUCUGUGAGGGAUGCUACGUGCAGGGUGUCUGCGCUCAACUAUGCAGAACUUCACUAAGAAUCACCAAGUGACGAAAAUCUUAAGGAACUAGGCCGGGUGCAGUGGCUCACACCUGUAAUCCCAGCACUUUGGGAGGCCAAGGCGGGUGGAUCACUUGAGGUCGGGAGUUCGAGACCAGCCUGACCAACCUGAAGAAACCUCGUCUCUACUAAAAUUACAAAAAUUAGCCAGGUGUGAUGGCGCACACCUGUAAUCCCACCUAUUCUGGAGGCUGAGGCAGGAGAAUCACUUGAACCCAGGAGGCGGAGGCUGCAGUGAGCCGAGAUCGUACCAUUGCAUUCUAACCUGGGCAACAAGAGCAAAACUCUCUAUCAAAAACAAAACAAAACAAAAAAAUCAUCCCCAGCAGGGAGAGGAGAGAGACAGAGAGGAACAGAGGCAAAGAGAGGGGAGAGAGACAAAGACAGAGAGACACAGAGAAAGACACAGACAGAAAAAGAGAGAGAGAGAGGGAGAAGGAGACAUAGAGACAGGGACAAAGAGAAAAAGACAGAGAAACAGAGAGACAUAGGUGGACACGGACAGGGGAGAGAGAGAGACAGAGACCAAGGGAUGAGAGUGGAAGAGAGACAGAUAGAGGAAAAAGACAGAGAGGGAGGCAGAGAAAAGAGACACAGAGAGACCGAGAGAGACAGGGAAGACAGAGGAGUCGGACUUAGUCUCAGCGAGAGCCCAGAGAGGGUGAACAAGGGCGAGAAACCAUGUGACCUCCACCCUGAGACCCCAGUGGCGCUCCUCUCCCACCCACCUCUCUCCAGCUCAGGGACUGUGUCUUAUGUUGCAGUACGCUGGCAGGCUGGAAAGUCAGGCCAGGGCUGAUGCUCAUCCCAGAGGCAGAACCGUCCUGCAUUCUCAGAGUGGGAGAUGAAAUUUUUAAAAAGGAAAUAAAACUCUUGUACGGGGAACCUCAGCUUUUAUCCUUUAGACCUUUGACUGAUUAGAUGAGGCCCACUCUUCUCCUUUACACCUUCAGCUGAUUAAAUGAGGCCCGCUCUUCCCCCUUUAGACCUUCGAUGGAUUAGAUGAGGCCCACCCUUCCCCCUUUAGACCUUCGACUGAUUAGAUGCGGCCCACCCUUCCCCUAUAUACCUUCCACGGAUUAGCUGAGGCCCACCCUUCCCUAUAUACCUUCAACUGAUUAGAUGAGGCCCACCCUUCCCCCUUUAGACCUUCGACCGAUAAGUUGAGGCCCGCCCUUCCCCUAUAUACCUUCCACUGAUUAGAUGAGGCCCACCCUUCCCCCUUUAGACCUUCGAAUGAUUAGUUGAGUCCCGCCCGUCCCCUAUAUACCUUCCACUGAUUAGAUGAGGCCCGCCCUUCCCUAUAUACCUUCCACUGAUUAGAUGAGGCCCACCCUUCC